Non-coding RNA from Podarcis lilfordi (Lilford's wall lizard), 164 nucleotides. Lineage: Eukaryota; Metazoa; Chordata; Lepidosauria; Squamata; Lacertidae. The record is from the annotation of a GenBank genome assembly.
CUUCCAGUAGCACCUUAGAGACCAACUAAGUUUGUUAUUGGUAUGAGCUUUCAUGUGCAUGAGCAUCUCUUCAGAUACCACACUUCAGAUAUGCACACUUCUUCAGAUACACGAAAGCUCAUACCAAUAACAAACUUAGUUGGUCUCUAAGGUGCUACUGGAAG